RNAcentral lists this ribosomal RNA (212 nucleotides) under uncultured bacterium. Its description in RNAcentral is "partial 16S ribosomal RNA". It matches the Rfam family "Bacterial small subunit ribosomal RNA", at positions 320 to 524 of the family's 1533-position model. The record is from RNAcentral.
CCAGCAGCCGCGGUAAUUCCUACGGGAGGCAGCAGUGGGGAAUUUUGGACAAUGGGCGCAAGCCUGAUCCAGCCAUGCCGCGUGAGUGAAGAAGGCCUUCGGGUUGUAAAGCUCUUUCAGUUGGGAAGAAACGAUUACAACUAAUAAUUGUAAUUAAUGACGGUACCGACAGAAGAAGCACCGGCUAACUACGUGCCAGCAGCCGCGGUAAU